RNAcentral lists this ribosomal RNA (504 nucleotides) under Platypontonia hyotis. RNAcentral describes it as "partial small subunit ribosomal RNA". The record is from RNAcentral. Lineage: Eukaryota; Metazoa; Arthropoda; Malacostraca; Decapoda; Palaemonidae.
UAGCGUUUAAAUAUUUUUUGUUAUAAUUGGAGGUGAAAUUUUAAAUUUUAUUUUAAUUAUGUUAACGCUAUUCUUUUUUAUAGGCUAUAAAUAUUUGGGCUUAAACUAGGAUUAGAUACCCUAUUAUACCAUAUAGAUAAUUUUUUGCUUGAGUAGUAAUCAGUUAUGUGCUUGAAAUUUAGAGGAUUUGGCGGUACCCAAGUCUAGUUAGAGGAACCUGCUCUGUGAACGAUAUUCCCCGAAUUAUCUUACUUUUAUUUGUUUUCAGUAUGUAUACCGCCAUUAGUAAAAUAAUGUUUUUAGAUAUAUAUUAUAUUAAAUAUUAGUUUAGUAUAUUAGGUCUAGGUGCAGCUUAUGUAAAAGUUGAGGUGGGUUACAUUAUAUUAUAUAUUUGGAUAAAGAUUUUAUAAUUCUUUUGAAAUUGGAUUUAAUUGUAUUUGUGUUUUAAUAAGGCAUAGUGAUAUUAGCUCUAGGGUAUGUACAUAUCGCCCGUCGCUCUCAUUA